UCCGGCUCAACGCCGGCAGUCUCUCUAGAGUCCCCACCAUCACGUGCUGGCAACUAAAGACGGGGGUUGCGCUCGUUGCGGGACUUAACCCAACACCUCCGGUUAAUCCUUCGCUUUCGCGCAGGCCAGACUAUUCCAUCACCUCACGGACGUCGUGAGGGCCGGCGUAUUGCGGCGUCUAUAGAUUUACUGCUUAAAAACGCCGCCUCGGCAUAAAGCCUCAGUCGUUACGGGGUCAAUCGGAAGCGCUACCAGUUCGUCUAUCUUCCGACGACUUCCCUCGAGAUUGCCGACCGCCCUAUGUAGACGAUUACGGUUUCCUCGAUAUGAGCCGGUUU
RNAcentral lists this unclassified non-coding RNA (338 nucleotides) under uncultured bacterium. Its description in RNAcentral is "contains 16S-23S intergenic spacer region". The record is from RNAcentral.